Molecule: unclassified non-coding RNA, 241 nt
Filed under: Hevea brasiliensis (rubber tree)
Lineage: Eukaryota; Viridiplantae; Streptophyta; Magnoliopsida; Malpighiales; Euphorbiaceae
Source: RNAcentral
GCGUUGAGGAAGCUGAGUGUCAAAGAGCAUAUGACUUGGCUGCUGAAAUGUAUAUGACUUCUUUUGAUCGUUCUAAGCCACCGGAGGAAGCUGCACUAAGAGAAGCACAUGAAGAUGCUAUCCAGAAGUCCAUGUCUGCAUUUAAUUCUACGGCUGUAGGGGCUGGAUCCAUCAGAACCAAAUAUGAGAAACGUCUCCAACAUUUCAUAAAGAAAGCAUUUGAGGACAUUAGAAAGGAUGC